RNAcentral lists this transfer RNA (67 nucleotides) under Dipodomys ordii (Ord's kangaroo rat). Lineage: Eukaryota; Metazoa; Chordata; Mammalia; Rodentia; Heteromyidae. The record is from Rfam by way of RNAcentral.
GCUAGUCUUGAGCAAAAGAAGCUCAGGGACAGUGCCCAGGCCCUGGGUUCAAACCCCAGGACUGGCA